Molecule: ribosomal RNA, 540 nt
Filed under: uncultured bacterium
Lineage: Bacteria
Description: partial 16S ribosomal RNA
Rfam family: Bacterial small subunit ribosomal RNA
Source: RNAcentral
GAUGAACGCUGGCGGUGUGCCUAAUACAUGCAAGUCGUACGCAUUCUCGUUUCUGAUUGACGGUGCUUGCACCUAAUUGACGAGACAUUGGAAUGAGUGGCGGACGGGUGAGUAACACGUGGGUAACCUGCCCAGAAGCGGGGGAUAACAUUUGGAAACAGAUGCUAAUACCGCAUAAAAGUCAAAACCACAUGGUUUUGAUUUAAAAGAUGGCCUUUGUGCUAUCACUUCUGGAUGGACCCGCGGCGUAUUAGCUAGUUGGUAAGGUAAUGGCUUACCAAGGCAAUGAUACGUAGCCGAACUGAGAGGUUGAUCGGCCACAAUGGGACUGAGACACGGCCCAUACUCCUACGGGAGGCAGCAGUAGGGAAUCUUCCACAAUGGGCGCAAGCCUGAUGGAGCAACACCGCGUGAGUGAAGAAGGGUUUCGGCUCGUAAAACUCUGUUGUUAAAGAAGAACGUAUCUGAGAGUAACUGCUUAGGUAGUGACGGUAUUUAACCAGAAAGCCACGGCUAACUACGUGCCAGCAGCCGCAGUAC